RNAcentral lists this non-coding RNA (23 nucleotides) under Cricetulus griseus (Chinese hamster). The record is from RNAcentral. Lineage: Eukaryota; Metazoa; Chordata; Mammalia; Rodentia; Cricetidae.
UGCUGGCGUGUCUGAACUGAGGU